Podarcis lilfordi (Lilford's wall lizard) is the source of this 1506-nucleotide non-coding RNA. NCBI's taxonomy places the organism in Eukaryota, Metazoa, Chordata, Lepidosauria, Squamata, Lacertidae. The record is from the annotation of a GenBank genome assembly.
UUAUAAGUCAUGCCAAAUUUACCUCGCAAAAAUGUCAAGGAGUAAGUUAGACAGGGUUACAGCAAGCAAAUAUGAGCCAAUUACAGCUGUAAUCAAUGGCCGUUUGCUGAACCUGUCUUCUGAGGGCCCUGCUCUCUCUCUUUUGGCUUCUUCUAAGCUCACUUCUGUAGUUUCUGAGGCCUCUGUAUGAUCUUUCCAGCUUCAGGAUUGCCUGAUUUACUCUGAUGACCUUUGUUACUCUGGCACAUAGCUUGCAACUCCACUAUGACCUCGCAGAGGCUUAGAGUAUCACAUCCCUUUGGCUGCCAUUGGCUUAGUACCUCUCAUCUCACAAUGGGGUUUUGCAAAGACACUAUCUGGCAGCUGGACUGAUAGGAUAAUGUUAGAUAAACCUGUUUUGAGAUCCAUGAACCAGUUCUACUAAAUGAAACAUAUACUUCGACUUAAUUGGACCUUGAACAAAUAUUCUACUAGAUUGGUACAGUAGUCUUGGCAGAAACAGACCACUUCUGCUGCUCAUACACACUAACAAAUGUAAAUGAAUAGGGACAUCUAGAGGAACUGCUUGGAAUUACAGAAUUUGGAAAUGACAGGACUUGCUAUGUAGUAAAUCUUCACUAGCUUUGCCAGUUGCCAUUUUGGCUGUGCAUCUUGUGACCCACCAGACUGAAUCAUCUCCAGCUGGGGUGGGAAAAGCUCCUGGUCUGAAACCCCAGAGUUCUGCUUUUCCACCCAGGGGCCACAUUCACUCCUGAGCACCCUUCUAGGGGCCAGUUUCUACACAUGCUCAUACAUCCUCCUCUAUUCUCCAUCCACCUAAGCAAGAGGCAUUGUCAAAGGACACAUUCGUGUCUGGCAAAAAAACACCCAAUGAGGCGUGAAGCCUAGCAAAAAUGUAUCAUACUCAUGUUUAUAAAUGCUGGAAAUGUAAGGAAAAAGAAGGAACCUUUUACCACAUGUGAUGGACGUGCCCCAAGGUAAAAGACUUCUGGGAAAGGCUUUAUAAUGAACUGAAAAAAGUGUUGAAAAACACAUUAAGAAACCAGAAGCCUUUUUACUUGGUAUAGUGGGGCGUGAAAUCCCCCAAAAGGAUGUUACUUUUUUUCUGUAUGCCACAACAGCUGCAAGAAUAUUACUAGUGAAGAAUUGAAAGAAACAAGAUUUACCAACUAUCGAAGAAUGGCAGAUGAAGAUGAUGGACUAUAUGGAACUUGCCGAACUGACUGGGAGACUCUGGGACCAGAGAGAAGAGACGGUGGAAGAAGACUGGAAGAAGUUUAAAGAAUAUUUGAAAAAAUAUGUUAAUAUUUAAAUCUUAGAAUAGCUUUGGAUGUGGAUAUAGGCUGUAGGGUUAGAAGUAGAAGAUAGUGUAUUUUAAAACAGUAUUAUUUGUAAGGGAUAUUAUGUAAAGAUUUUAAUGGUAUAAGUAAGUGAUUAAAAAAAUGGUUAAAAAUUAUGAUAUAUGUAAAAACUGCUAAAGAUGAGGUAAAAUGAAAAUCAGAUAGG